RNAcentral lists this ribosomal RNA (498 nucleotides) under uncultured Sphingobacteriales bacterium. RNAcentral describes it as "bacterial SSU rRNA". It matches the Rfam family "Bacterial small subunit ribosomal RNA", at positions 903 to 1382 of the family's 1533-position model. The record is from RNAcentral. Lineage: Bacteria; Pseudomonadati; Bacteroidota; Sphingobacteriia; Sphingobacteriales.
GCCAGCCCGCUCAAGAAACUUAAAGGAAUUGACGGGGGCCCGCACAAGCGGUGGAGCAUGUGGUUUAAUUCGAUGAUACGCGAGGAACCUUACCUGGGCUCAAAUGUAUGUUGACGUAUUCUGAAAGGGAUACUUCUUCGGACAAUAUACAAGGUGCUGCAUGGUUGUCGUCAGCUCGUGCCGUGAGGUGUCGGGUUAAGUCCCAUAACGAGCGCAACCCCUAUCAUUAGUUGCCAUCAGGUCAAGCUGGGGACUCUAAUGAAACUGCCUACGCAAGUAGUGAGGAAGGUGGGGAUGACGUCAAAUCAGCACGGCCCUUACGUCCAGGGCUACACACGUGCUACAAUGGCCGGUACAAAGGGCAGCUACCUGGUGACAGGAUGCUAAUCUCAAAAGCCGGUCUCAGUUCGGAUCGGAGUCUGCAACCCGGCUCCGUGAAGCUGGAAUCGCUAGUAAUCGCGCAUCAGCCAUGGCGCGGUGAAUACGUUCCCGGGCCUU